RNAcentral lists this ribosomal RNA (300 nucleotides) under uncultured bacterium. RNAcentral's name for it is "bacterial SSU rRNA". It matches the Rfam family "Bacterial small subunit ribosomal RNA", at positions 1060 to 1382 of the family's 1533-position model. The record is from RNAcentral.
UCGUGUCGUGAGAUGUUCGGUUAAGUCCGGCAACGAGCGCAACCCACAUCCUUAGUUGCCAGCAGUUCGGCUGGGCACUCUAGGGAAACUGCCCGUGAUAAGCGGGAGGAAGGUGUGGAUGACGUCAAGUCCUCAUGGCCCUUACGGGUUGGGCUACACACGUGCUACAAUGGCAUCAACAAUGGGUUAAUCCCCAAAAGAUGUCUCAGUUCGGAUUGGGGUCUGCAACUCGACCCCAUGAAGUCGGAAUCGCUAGUAGUCGUGAAUCAGAAUGUCACGGUGAAUACGUCCCCGGGCCUU